GUAGCAAUACAUUGGUGGCGACCGGCGCACGGGUGAGUAACGCGUAUGCAACCUACCUAUCAGAGGGGAAUAACCCGGCGAAAGUCGGACUAAUACCGCAUAAAACAGGGGUUCCACAUGGAAAUAUUUGUUAAAGAAUUAUCGCUGAUAGAUGGGCAUGCGUUCCAUUAGAUAGUUGGUGAGGUAACGGCUCACCAAGUCCACGAUGGAUAGGGGUUCUGAGAGGAAGGUCCCCCACACUGGUACUGAGACACGGACCAGACUCCUACGGGAGGCAGCAGUGAGGAAUAUUGGUCAAUGGGCGAGAGCCUGAACCAGCCAAGUCGCGUGAAGGAUGAAGGAUCUAUGGUUUGUAAACUUCUUUUAUAUGGGAAUAAAGUGAGGAACGUGUUCCUUUUUGUAUGUACCAUAUGAAUAAGCAUCGGCUAACUCCGUGCCAGCAGCCGCGGUAAUACGGAGGAUGCGAGCGUUAUCCGGAUUUAUUGGGUUUAAAGGGUGCGUAGGUGGUUAAUUAAGUCAGCGGUGAAAGUUUGUGGCUCAACCAUAAAAUUGCCGUUGAAACUGGUUGACUUGAGUAUAUUUGAGGUAGGCGGAAUGCGUGGUGUAGCGGUGAAAUGCAUAGAUAUCACGCAGAACUCCGAUUGCGAAGGCAGCUUACUAAACUAUAACUGACACUGAAGCACGAAAGCGUGGGGAUCAAACAGGAUUAGAUACCCUGGUAGUCCACGCAGUAAACGAUGAUUACUAGCUGUUUGCGAUACACAGUAAGCGGCACAGCGAAAGCGUUAAGUAAUCCACCUGGGGAGUACGCCGGCAGCGGUGA
Molecule: ribosomal RNA, 823 nt
Filed under: uncultured bacterium
Lineage: Bacteria
Description: bacterial SSU rRNA
Rfam family: Bacterial small subunit ribosomal RNA
Source: RNAcentral